RNAcentral lists this small RNA (746 nucleotides) under Pan troglodytes (chimpanzee). RNAcentral's name for it is "retained intron". Lineage: Eukaryota; Metazoa; Chordata; Mammalia; Primates; Hominidae. The record is from RNAcentral.
CUCAGCCACUCAGCCUCAGUCUGUCCCCAACAGCUGCAGCUCAACUACCUGGGAAACUACGUCCCCAAUGGCUGGACUCCUGAGGGAGGCUGUGGCUUCUGCAACCAGGACCGGAGGGCACUCCCGGGGGGGCAGGAGGUCUUCCAUGAGCCCCACAUCGCUGACUCCUGGCCGCAGCUCCAGGACCACUUCUCAGCUGUGAAGCUCGUGGGGCCGGAGGAGGCUCUGAGCCCAGGCGAGGCCAGGGACAUGGCCAUGUGAGCGGGUGCUUGGGGGGAGGAGAGGGUGGGAUGAGGCUAUAGGGUCAGGGGUGCUGCCACCUGCUGCCUGGCCCUUGCCUCACCUGUCACCCAUCCAGCUCCUCCUGGGCCUCCCCAUUCGCGUCCUUGCAGCCCCCAUGCUGUCACCCCUGCCCUUGCCAGCUCACCCAGACAGCAGAGAGCCUGGGGAAGGAAGGAUAGACACUGCCUCCCUCCUCUUCUCCUGGGGGCAUGGGCCAGUUACCCCACCCACACCGCCUCCCCACCCGCUGCCGUCUCAACUCGCCUCUCACCUCCAGGGACCUGUGUCGGCAGGACCCCGAGUGUGAGUUCUACUUCAGCCUGGACGCCGACACUGUCCUCACCAACCUGCAGACCCUGCGUAUCCUCAUUGAGGAGAACAGGAAGGUGAUCGCCCCCAUGCUGUCCCGCCACGGCAAGCUGUGGUCCAACUUCUGGGGCGCCCUGAGCCCCGAUGAGUACUAU